RNAcentral lists this ribosomal RNA (1439 nucleotides) under uncultured archaeon. RNAcentral describes it as "bacterial SSU rRNA". It matches the Rfam family "Archaeal small subunit ribosomal RNA". The record is from RNAcentral.
CGGUUGAUCCUGCCAGAGGUUACUGCUAUCAGAGUUCGAUUAAGCCAUGCGAGUCGAGAGGGUUCGGCCCUCGGCAGACUGCUCAGUAACACGUGGAUAACCUAACCUCGGGUCGGGGAUAAUCCCGGGAAACUGGGGAUAAUACCCGAUUCGUUACCUAUGCUGGAAUGCUUGGUAGCAAAAAGCUCCGGCGCCCGAGGAUGGGUCUGCGGCGGAUUAGGUUGUCGCCGGUGUAACGUACCGACGAGCCGAUAAUCCGUACGGGUUGUGAGAGCAAGAGCCCGGAGAUGGAUUCUGAGACACGAAUCCAGGCCCUACGGGGCGCAGCAGGCGCGGAAACUUUACAAUGCAGGAAACUGCGAUAAGGGAACUCUGAGUGUUUGGGACAUUCUCAAACUGUUCUAAUACCUAAAUAGUAUCAGAUAGUAAGGGCCGGGCAAGACCGGUGCCAGCCGCCGCGGUAACACCGGCGGCCCGAGUGGUAACCGAUAUUAUUGAGCUUAAAGGGCCCGUAGCCGGCCUGGCAAGUCCCUUGGGAAAUCUAACGGCUUAACCGUUAGGCGUCCAGAGGAUACUACCAGGCUUGGGACCGGGAGAGGUAGGAGGUACUCCAGGGGUAGGGGUGAAAUCCUGUAAUCCUUGGGAGACCACCGGUGGCGAAGGCGUCCUACCAGAACGGCUCCGACGGUGAGGGACGAAAGCUAGGGGCACGAACCGGAUUAGAUACCCGGGUAGUCCUAGCCGUAAACGAUGCAGGCUAGGUGUCACUGUAGCCAUGAGCUAUUGUGGUGCCGCAGGGAAACCGUGAAGCUUGCCGCUUGGGAAGUACGUCCGCAAGGAUGAAACUUAAAGGAAUUGGCGGGGGAGCACUACAACGGGUGGAGCCUGCGGUUUAAUUGGACUCAACGCCGGAAAGCUUACCGGUUUCGACAGCUGUAUGAAAGUCAGGCUGAAGACCUUACUGGACUAGCUGAGAGGAGGUGCAUGGCCGUCGUCAGUUCGUACCGUGAGGCGUCCUGUUAAGUCAGGCAACGAGCGAGACCCAUGCCCAUUGUUGCUAACGCACCCUCCGGGGUGUCGAGUACACUGUGGGGACCGUCUAGAGCUAAUCUAGAGGAAGGAAUGGGCGACGGUAGGUCAGUAUGCCCCGAAUACACCGGGCUACACGCGGGCUACAAUGGUUGGGACAAUGGGUAUCGACACCGAAAGGUGAAGGCAAUCCCCUAAACCCAAUCUAAGUUCGGAUCGAGGGCUGCAACUCGCCCCCGUGAAGCUGGAAUCCGUAGUAAUCGCGCCUCAACAUGUCGCGGUGAAUACGUCCCUGCUCCUUGCACACACCGCCCGUCAAACCACCCGAGUGAAGUUUAGAUGAGGGCCUGGUUAAUUGCCGUGCUCGAAUUUAAGCUCUACAAGGGGGGUUAAGUCGUAACAAGGUAGCC